Molecule: non-coding RNA, 231 nt
Filed under: Rugosibacter aromaticivorans
Lineage: Bacteria; Pseudomonadati; Pseudomonadota; Betaproteobacteria; Nitrosomonadales; Sterolibacteriaceae
Source: RNAcentral
UGAUCCAGGCUCGAUCCGGGUUCUCCUGCGUGCAGUCUGUGCGCCGGAGUGAAACGGGAAGUCCGGUGCCUUUGGAUAGCUGAUCUUAAAAUCAUUGUCCAGACAGUCCGGCGCAGCCCCCGCUGCUGUAAACCUGACAAAUCUGUCCCAAUGCCACUGUGCGAUGCACGGGAAGGCGGACAGAGGCGAGUGAAGGUAAGCCAGAAGACCGGCCUUGAUCGAGUGAAUGGU